Cimex lectularius (bed bug) is the source of this 422-nucleotide long non-coding RNA. RefSeq lists it as uncharacterized. The record is from RefSeq and is a predicted model, not a curated record. Lineage: Eukaryota; Metazoa; Arthropoda; Insecta; Hemiptera; Cimicidae. The transcript is spliced from 4 exons.
GUGUUUUUUGUAUAUAUAUAUAUAUAUAUACUAUACAAAAUUAAAUAUUUAUCACAUGAGAAAUUCAAUUCACAAAAGCACUAUUGAAAUUUUUUUUCCUAUUAAAAUCCAGACAUAUUUUGCAAACUUAGUUUACAUUCGUUUUGAAAACAACAAAUAAAUGAUAAUAAAUGACAAAUGAAACAAAAUGCUUGUAACCAAGGCGUCCGGACCUAGUUGCAUGUUUGGACAUGGGAUGGAUUACAGUGGAAGGACUCCUGCAUAGAAGUAACCCCGUCCCGUUGGAAUCAAAGACGAGGUUUAUCUACGUGGUUAGGAUAGAAGAACCUGUCUCAAAGAAAGAUUGUGUCCUGAGUGAGCUCAAAAGGAAUAAAUUCAACUUCUUCCUAUUUAUUUAUAAAUUAUUCCAAGUAAAUGGAGUU